RNAcentral lists this ribosomal RNA (433 nucleotides) under uncultured bacterium. RNAcentral's name for it is "partial 16S ribosomal RNA". It matches the Rfam family "Bacterial small subunit ribosomal RNA", at positions 29 to 507 of the family's 1533-position model. The record is from RNAcentral.
AGCGAACGCUGGCGGCAGGCUUAACACAUGCAAGUCGAGCGGUCACUUCGGUGUCAGCGGCAGACGGGUGAGUAACACGUGGGAACGUACCCUUCGGUUCGGAAUAACGCUGGGAAACUAGCGCUAAUACCGGAUACGCCCUUUUGGGGAAAGGUUUACUGCCGAAGGAUCGGCCCGCGUCUGAUUAGUUAGUUGGUGGGGUAAUGGCCUACCAAGGCGACGAUCAGUAGCUGGUCUGAGAGGAUGAUCAGCCACACUGGGACUGAGACACGGCCCAGACUCCUACGGGAGGCAGCAGUGGGGAAUAUUGGACAAUGGGCGCAAGCCUGAUCCAGCCAUGCCGCGUGAGUGAUGAAGGCCUUAGGGUUGUAAAGCUCUUUUGUCCGGGACGAUAAUGACGGUACCGGAAGAAUAAGCCCCGGCUAACUUCGUG